Arachis ipaensis is the source of this 150-nucleotide non-coding RNA. The record is from RefSeq and is a predicted model, not a curated record. Lineage: Eukaryota; Viridiplantae; Streptophyta; Magnoliopsida; Fabales; Fabaceae.
CUUUGCUCCGGUCGCCGUCGCUGCUUCCUAUGCCUCCCGUCGGCGUCGCUGGAUCUUUGCUUUGUCGCCGUCGCUGCUUACUCUGAGCCCGUCGCAGUCACCAUAAUCUGCAGGUAUGAUUGGAGAGAAACUGAAAGAAGAAGACAUAAA